Ictalurus punctatus (channel catfish) is the source of this 396-nucleotide long non-coding RNA. NCBI's taxonomy places the organism in Eukaryota, Metazoa, Chordata, Actinopteri, Siluriformes, Ictaluridae. The record is from Ensembl.
GGAGAGGAACAUUUCUGAAACGUUGCUGUAACUUUGUGUGUAGGUUCUGCUUCAGUACUAGAAGAUGGAGGAGAGGAACAUUGCUGUAACGUUGCUGUAACUUUGUGUGUGGGUUCUGCCUUAGUACUAGACGAUGAAGGAGAGGAACAUUGCUGUAACGUUUUGUGUAGGUUCUGCUUCAGUACUAGAAGAUGGAGGAGAGGAACAUUGCUGUAACGUUGCUGUAACUUUGUGUGUAGGUUCUGCUUCAGUACUAGAAGAUGGAGGAGAGGAACAUUGCUGUAACGUUGCUGUAACUUUGUGUGUAGGUUCUGCCUUAGUACUAGAGGAUGGAGGAGAGGAACAUUGCUGUAACUUUGUGUGUAGGUUCUGCCUUAGUACUAGAAGAUGGAAGAG